AGAAAAUGAAUAGGUGGCUGAGUUUAGUGGGGCUUUUCUUCGUCACUACCGCUGGAUGCAUCAUCUUUUUCUGUCCCGGUGGGACGGCGUCGUUCGUGCCGAUUUUCCAAUGGAAUAGCAACAACAAAGCGGCUGCCGGAAGAAAAGCUGAGGAAACGAAAACUAUUGAGCCGUCAUCGUCUUCCAUCCAAUUACUCCACCAAAGAAAUGAAUUCCGGGAUAUGGAAAAAGGGAGAACUCCGGCGUGGGUAGGAUCAGACGGAUUAAUGCGCGUCCCAUCGACUUUGCCUUACUGGCCCGCAUCCGAUACGGCCACAAGCUCGCGAGCAUUAUCAGACUACAGUGACAACAGGCCUUGUGGCAUUGUUGUCCUUCCCGGAAUCUCCUCUCCCUUGCAGGCGGAUGUCGCCCAAGAACAGGACGUGGCAUCAGGUCCAAUGAAACCCGAUGAAGUGAACGUGGUCGAUUCGUUGGCAUGUCGAUCACGACAACGUCCGUCUUCCUCGCGACAGCGAAACGAGCAACGGUGGCCAAUGGCCUACGAUCAUUCAACUGACUUGAACCCUCCUGUUGACGGCAUUGACAGCUUUUCCGAGUUUCUGUCGCCCUCCAUCACCCACGAGGAUGGCUCUGACGUCUUCUCGUACGAUUUUUACGACACGUCCAACUCGUAUCCGACCGAGUUCGACGCUGCCAGUGUUGAUUUGCCAUCCGGUUGCCACGUUGAAAGCGACCCGCCUGGCUAUCUCAUUUGCAACGACACAUCCAUGACCAGAGUCCCCGUCGAUUUACCGCGCCUAAUUUCGCUCUCCGUUUUCGAGCUGAACAACACGAGUGUCCAAGUCCUGGCCAAAGGCGAUUUUUAUCAGAUGGACCUUGUCGACAUGAAUUUGUGUUCGAAUCCUCAACUCGACGUCAUCGAGAGGGGAGCCUUCGACAACGUUACGAGCCUCCUCACUCUGUCUGUCAAGCACAAUUCGAUCCAGUCGCUGGAUUGGCAGGUGUUUGACGGAUUGGACACGUUGGUCGUCUUGUCCCUACGAGACAAUCAGAUUGACUUGACGCAAAUGUUCCAGGACCCGCCGGAUGAGGAGGACGCGAUUGUCUUGCCGAAUCUGAUUCAUCUGGAUUUGUCGGAGAAUCCGCUCGGCGCGCUCAACCGAUACGUCUUUUGGCAGCUAGGGCAGUCGCCCAUCGAAGAGCUUAAUCUCAAGUCGUGCGACCUCAGUUCCAUUGAUCCAGACGCCUUUGAGCCGCUGACUUCCCUGUUGCACGUCGAUUUCUACAACAAUCCGAAAUUGAGCUCGAUUUUCGCGCACGAGACGAGGACGCCGAUUCUACCUCCGAGCCUCAUUCAGUUGGGACUUGGCUACAAUCAUCUCGUCCAGAAGGUCCCUGUGCCUUUGCUGCAGAACGUGUCCACGACGCUGAAGACGAUCAACUUGUCUGGAAAUUUGUACUUUCUCUUAACUGGCAAUCUGUGGCCGGCAAUUUCGUUUCCGAAUUUGAGAUUUCUCAUUCUGGAAACGUGCAGCAUCUCGGUGGUGAAUGCGACGGCUUUCGAGAAUAUGCCUCAGCUGGCCUACCUCUACAUGGGCAAGAAUCAGCUGACGCAAGUGGCUCCAGGUACGUUUCCCUCUUCGCUGCAACUGUUGAGCGUCAGACAGAAUCCGAAGAUGAGCGGUUCUUUUGUCAUGUCCAAGGACAAUUUUGCCGAAAUGACGGAACUCGUUUGGCUCGAUAUGAAUUCAAUGAAACUCGAUGCCAAAAACUUUUCAUCGGAGGCCUUUAAGGGACUGAACAAGCUCGCGAUUCUGCAGAUGCGCGACUCUGGACUGACCGAAAUCCCUCCUCGCUUGUUCUCGCCUCUGACUCGACUCGCAAUGCUGGACUUGGGCAACAACCCAAUCACCACGUUGUCACACCAGUUCUCCCUCGGCCUCGAAAAUACCCAGCUACUUCUGCUGGACAAUUGUUUCUUGGAUUUUCCCGCAGAGGUCGACUACGCUUACCAACCAUUUCGUGGAAUGCAUCACUUGGCGAUGCUUUACCUGACUAAAAAUAGCAUCAACCAAUUCACGCCGAAUCUAGUGGACAACCUCACGCAACUCUAUUUACUCCACCUGAGCGGCAAUCAGCUACACACCUGGGAAUACGGGACGACGGCUUACAUGCCCAGUAGCGCCGCCAUCGCCAUCUCCGACAACAAAAUUCAGUUUUUACCCAAUCAGACGUUCGAAGAGUUUUCAAGGAUUGCUGCCAUUGACUUGAGCGAUAACGCUCUAAUCUGCAACUGUCAGACUCUCGCUUUGCAGCAGCUGGCGAAUUCGUCCAACACGACAGUUCUGAAGUGGGAGGUUGAGGGCGCCUACACUUGCACCGACACAUCCGCCGAGCCAUUCGUUUUGAAGGCAAUUCCUCUGAUGACUGAAGAAGAGUUCCAGUGCCGCAGUGAACCGGUUACCACUCCCCAGCCGAGCAACGACAAAGAAACGGCGACCGUCGUGUCGUCAGUCGUCGGUGCCAUCAUAAUCGUCAUCACUUUGGUGGCCAUCAUGACAAGCUGCUAUUGCAAGCGCAAUCAGGGACAGGGCAAAUGGUUUCAUUUGCGACAACAACUGCAGUUCUUCGGUGGCUCUUCCAGCAGCGAAAUGGUUGUCGAAAACGACAGUGAAUUUGAGUACGACGCUUUUAUUUCGUUCAAUGAACAGGAUCGACCCUGGGUCUACACUCAUUUGGUCCCACAAUUGGAGCCACCCAAAGAGUCACAGUCAGACGCUACGGAUCCAGCAGAUGACGCCUUCAAACCCUUUCGCCUGUGCCUGCACGACCGAGAUUUCACCGUUGGCCAACGCAUCACUGAAAAUAUCAUAGAGAAUAUCGCCAAAAGUCGCAAGGUGGUGAUCGUUCUGUCUCGCGGCUACGUUGAAAGCAAGUGGUGUCAGUUCGAGCUAGAUUUAUCACACCAUCGUUUGCUUGAAUCGGAGCGUCGCAAUGCUCUUGUCCUCAUCCUCUUGGAAGAUGUGCCGAAACAGCAGCAGAAUGCCGGCCUCCGUUAUUUGAUGAGUACGAGGACUUACCUCGAAUGGCGGAGUGAUCCUGAAGGUCAAAAACUGUUUUGGCAGCGAUUACGCCAAGUGUUGACAGUUCCGCACCCCACUUCAGAGCCCAUCCUUAAUGUGCACGCAAGUACCUGAUUUCGGCAGUUACUUGUUCAUUUCUCUCGUUCUUGCUCGCCCAUCCUGGUACGAUGGUCGGUACGCACAUGCGGCUGAAAACCUAAAAGUGCAGUAAUCAUCUGCAAUUUACUCAUUGAAUCCUCUUUGAUAGUCAGUUACCAACAACCACUUGAUCUUGGUUAUAGAUCACAGUGUCUGAAACAAAAUGAUCGAUAAUUGAACAUCCAGUCCCUGAUCAUCCAUACAUAAAUUUGUACAGUCAUAUUAUCAAAUUCGUGUUCUCAUCAUAGUUCAGCUGCCUUCCCUUUCCGGUUACAAUGAAGAAAAAUCGUUUGAGUCGAAAAUAUUAAAAGAACUUACUGGAAUUUGUCACAAGAAUGGAGAGGUUUGCAGAAAAAGACUUACAUUCCAGAAACAACUCUACGUUACAAUUUUGAUUGUCCAUGUGAUGAAGAAAAUCGCUUUGUUGUCUUUUCAUAAACUCUGUAGUAGACAUGUUGGUGUAAGAUGCACAAUUCAAGUUCGAGCCCAAGAUCACCAAGGGUAACAAAAAUGAAUAAAAAUUCAAAAGCAAAAAGAAAA
RNA transcript from Daphnia magna, 3761 nucleotides. It is a transcript of the gene named toll-like receptor 2, with no coding region annotated. The record is from RefSeq and is a predicted model, not a curated record. The transcript has 7 exons. Lineage: Eukaryota; Metazoa; Arthropoda; Branchiopoda; Diplostraca; Daphniidae.